GCGCCGAUGGAGUGCCUCGCGGCCUAUCAGCUAGUUGGUGAGGUAACGGCUCACCAAGGCGACGACGGGUAGCUGGUCUGAGAGGAUGGCCAGCCACAUUGGGACUGAGACACGGCCCAG
RNAcentral lists this ribosomal RNA (120 nucleotides) under uncultured bacterium. Its description in RNAcentral is "partial 16S ribosomal RNA". It matches the Rfam family "Bacterial small subunit ribosomal RNA", at positions 215 to 334 of the family's 1533-position model. The record is from RNAcentral.